This 253-nucleotide ribosomal RNA is filed under the name uncultured bacterium. RNAcentral's name for it is "partial 16S ribosomal RNA". It matches the Rfam family "Bacterial small subunit ribosomal RNA", at positions 524 to 776 of the family's 1533-position model. The record is from RNAcentral.
UACGUAGGGGGCGAGCGUUGUCCGGAAUCAUUGGGCGUAAAGAGCGUGUAGGCGGCCCGGUAAGUCCGCUGUGAAAGUCGGGGGCUCAACCCUCGAAUGCCGGUGGAUACUGUCGGGCUAGAGUGCGGAAGAGGCGAGUGGAAUUCCUGGUGUAGCGGUGAAAUGCGCAGAUAUCAGGAGGAACACCAAUUGCGAAGGCAGCUCGCUGGGACGUAACUGACGCUGAGACGCGAAAGCGUGGGGAGCAAACAGG